RNAcentral lists this ribosomal RNA (301 nucleotides) under uncultured bacterium. RNAcentral describes it as "partial 16S ribosomal RNA". It matches the Rfam family "Bacterial small subunit ribosomal RNA", at positions 509 to 809 of the family's 1533-position model. The record is from RNAcentral.
CAGCAGCCGCGGGAAUACCGAGGGUGCAAGCGUUAAUCGGAAUUACUGGGCGUAAAGCGCGCGUAGGUGGUUUGUUAAGUUGGAUGUGAAAGCCCCGGGCUCAACCUGGGAACUGCAUCCAAAACUGGCAAGCUAGAGUACGGUAGAGGGUGGUGGAAUUUCCUGUGUAGCGGUGAAAUGCGUAGAUAUAGGAAGGAACACCAGUGGCGAAGGCGACCACCUGGACUGAUACUGACACUGAGGUGCGAAAGCGUGGGGAGCAAACAGGAUUAGAUACCCCGGUAGUCCCUGUCUCUUAUCC